GGAUGUGAGGGCGAUCUGGCUGAGACAUCUGUCACCCCAUUGAUCGCCAGGGUUGAUUCAGCUGAUCUGGCUGGCUAGGAGGGUGUCCCCUUCCUCCCUCACCACUCCAUGUGUGUCCCUCCCGAAGCUGCGUCCUUGGUCGAAGAGGAUGGCCUUCCCCCAAUAGAGAUGGACAGGUCUUCGAUCAAGGGUAUAUGGGUAGCUGCACUCCCCUGCUAGAACCUCCAAACAAGCUCUCAAGGCCAAGAGAUCAAAUCCCAUCUGUCAUUUACUAGCUAAGUGACAUCCCACAAAUGACUUACUUCUAUAA
Molecule: small nuclear RNA, 310 nt
Filed under: Erinaceus europaeus (western European hedgehog)
Lineage: Eukaryota; Metazoa; Chordata; Mammalia; Eulipotyphla; Erinaceidae
Description: 7SK RNA
Rfam family: 7SK RNA
About the family: 7SK was discovered as an abundant small nuclear RNA in the mid-70s but a possible function has only recently been suggested. Two independent studies have found that 7SK RNA binds the CDK9/cyclin T complex (known as elongation factor P-TEFb).
Source: Rfam by way of RNAcentral